Molecule: transfer RNA, 99 nt
Filed under: Myriangium duriaei CBS 260.36
Lineage: Eukaryota; Fungi; Ascomycota; Dothideomycetes; Myriangiales; Myriangiaceae
Description: tRNA-Ala
Rfam family: tRNA
About the family: Transfer RNA (tRNA) molecules are approximately 80 nucleotides in length. Their secondary structure includes four short double-helical elements and three loops (D, anti-codon, and T loops). Further hydrogen bonds mediate the characteristic L-shaped molecular structure. tRNAs have two regions of fundamental functional importance: the anti-codon, which is responsible for specific mRNA codon recognition, and the 3' end, to which the tRNAs corresponding amino acid is attached (by aminoacyl-tRNA synthetases). tRNAs cope with the degeneracy of the genetic code in two manners: having more than one tRNA (with a specific anti-codon) for a particular amino acid; and 'wobble' base-pairing, i.e. permitting non-standard base-pairing at the 3rd anti-codon position.
Source: RNAcentral
GGGUACAUGGUCUAAUGGCUAUGAUUCGCCCUUAGCAACCCGAUAUUUCAUCGGAACGCAAUUUGGGCGGGGUUCCCGGUUCAAUUCCGGGUGUAUCCA